UGAGGAAUAUUGGACAAUGGGCGCAAGCCUGAUCCAGCCAUGCCGCGUGCAGGAAGAAGCAUCUAUGGUGUGUAAACUGCUUUUGUACGGGAAGAAACACUCCUACGUGUAGGAGCUUGACGGUACCGUAAGAAUAAGGAUCGGCUAACUCCGUGCCAGCAGCCGCGGUAAUACGGAGGAUCCAAGCGUUAUCCGGAAUCAUUGGGUUUAAAGGGUCCGUAGGCGGUUUAAUAAGUCAGUGGUGAAAGCCCAUCGCUCAACGAUGGAACGGCCAUUGAUACUGCUAGACUUGAAUUACAAGGAAGUAACUAGAGUAUGUAGUGUAGCGGUGAAAUGCUUAUAUAUUACAUGGAAUACCAAUUGCGAAGGCAGGUUACUACUUGUGGAUUGACGCUGAUGGACGAAAGCGUGGGGAGCGAACA
This 422-nucleotide ribosomal RNA is filed under the name uncultured bacterium. RNAcentral describes it as "bacterial SSU rRNA". It matches the Rfam family "Bacterial small subunit ribosomal RNA", at positions 355 to 774 of the family's 1533-position model. The record is from RNAcentral.